This 75-nucleotide antisense RNA is filed under the name Streptomyces scopuliridis RB72. Its description in RNAcentral is "ASpks TB sRNA". It matches the Rfam family "ASpks TB sRNA". The record is from Rfam by way of RNAcentral. Lineage: Bacteria; Bacillati; Actinomycetota; Actinomycetes; Kitasatosporales; Streptomycetaceae.
CUUGAGCGAGCCGAGCCACAGCGGACGCUCGGGGUCGCGCUCCUGGCCGUAGGUGGCCAGCAGCGCCUGCGCCUC